Molecule: ribosomal RNA, 481 nt
Filed under: uncultured bacterium
Lineage: Bacteria
Description: bacterial SSU rRNA
Rfam family: Bacterial small subunit ribosomal RNA
Source: RNAcentral
GUCGAGCGGACCGAAGGGAGCUUGCUCCUUUAGGUUAGCGGCGGACGGGUGAGUAACACGUGGGCAACCUGCCCUGCAGACUGGGAUAACUUCGGGAAACCGGAGCUAAUACCGGAUAACACCGAAAACCGCAUGGUUUUCGGUUGAAAGGCGGCUUUUAGCUGUCACUGCAGGAUGGGCCCGCGGCGCAUUAGCUAGUUGGUGAGGUAACGGCUCACCAAGGCGACGAUGCGUAGCCGACCUGAGAGGGUGACCGGCCACACUGGGACUGAGACACGGCCCAGACUCCUACGGGAGGCAGCAGUAGGGAAUAUUGGACAAUGAGCGCAAGCUUGAUCCAGCCAUACCGCGUGUGUGAAGAAGGCUUUCGGGUUGUAAAGCACUUUAAGCAGGGAGAAAAAGUUAUAGGCUAAUACCCUAUGACCGUGAUGUUACCUGCAGAAUAAGCACCGGCUAAUUCCGUGCCAGCAGCCGCGGUAAU